GUACACUCCUACGGGAGGCAGCAGUGGGGAAUAUUGCACAAUGGGCGCAAGCCUGAUGCAGCCAUGCCGCGUGUGUGAAGAAGGCCUUCGGGUUGUAAAGCACUUUCAGCGGGGAGGAAGGCAAUGCGGUUAAUAACCGUGUUGAUUGACGUUACCCGCAGAAGAAGCACCGGCUAACUCCGUGCCAGCAGCCGCGGUAAUACGGAGGGUGCAAGCGUUAAUCGGAAUUACUGGGCGUAAAGCGCACGCAGGCGGUCUGUCAAGUCGGAUGUGAAAUCCCCGGGCUCAACCUGGGAACUGCAUUCGAAACUGGCAGGCUUGAGUCUUGUAGAGGGGGGUAGAAUUCCAGGUGUAGCGGUGAAAUGCGUAGAGAUCUGGAGGAAUACCGGUGGCGAAGGCGGCCCCCUGGACAAAGACUGACGCUCAGGUGCGAAAGCGUGGGGAGCAAACAGGAUUAGAAACCCCUGUAGUCCCAUG
RNAcentral lists this ribosomal RNA (477 nucleotides) under uncultured organism. Its description in RNAcentral is "partial 16S ribosomal RNA". It matches the Rfam family "Bacterial small subunit ribosomal RNA", at positions 331 to 799 of the family's 1533-position model. The record is from RNAcentral.